CCAACCUGCCGUCUACUCUUGGACAGCCUUCUGAAGGAAGAUUAAUACAAGAUGGCAUCAUGAGUCCGCAUGUUCACAUGAUUAAAGGUAUUCCGGUAGACGAUGGGGAUGCGUCCCAUUAGAUAGUAGGCGGGGUAACGGCCCACCUAGUCUUCGAUGGAUAGGGGUUCUGAGAGGAAGGUCCCCCACAUUGGAACUGAGACACGGUCCAAACUCCUACGGGAGGCAGCAUG
Molecule: ribosomal RNA, 233 nt
Filed under: uncultured bacterium
Lineage: Bacteria
Description: partial 16S ribosomal RNA
Rfam family: Bacterial small subunit ribosomal RNA
Source: RNAcentral